This 615-nucleotide ribosomal RNA is filed under the name uncultured archaeon. RNAcentral describes it as "bacterial SSU rRNA". It matches the Rfam family "Archaeal small subunit ribosomal RNA", at positions 1 to 617 of the family's 1478-position model. The record is from RNAcentral.
UUCCGGUUGAUCCUGCCGGAGGCCAUUGCUAUCGGAGUCCGAUUUAGCCAUGCUAGUCGUGCGAGUUCAGACUCGCGGCACCGAGCUCAGUAACACGUGGCCAAACUACCCUACAGAGACGGAUACCCUCGGGAAACUGAGGUUAACCCGUCAUACCGAUCUCAGGCUUGAAUCGCAGAGAUCACAAAAUGCCCCGGCGCUGUAGGAUGUGGCUGCGGUUGAUUAGGUAGACGGUGGGGUAACGGCCCACCGUGCCCAUAAUCAGUACAGGUUGUGAGAGCAAGAACCUGGAGACGGAAUCUGAGACAAGAUUCCGGGCCCUACGGGGCGCAGCAGGCGCGAAACCUUUACACUGCACGCACGUGCGAUAAGGGGACUCCGAGUGCGAGGGCAUAUCGUCCUCGCUUUCGUGUACCGUAGGGUGGUACACCAACAAGGGCUGGGCAAGACCGGUGCCAGCCGCCGCGGUAAUACCGGCAGCCCGAGUGAUGGCCGAUCUUAUUGGGCCUAAAGCGUCCGUAGCUGGCUGCGCAAGUCCGUCGGGAAAUCCACUCGCCCAACGAGUGGGCGUCCGACGGAAACUGCAUAGCUUGGGACCGGAAGGCUCGAAGGGUA